This 1100-nucleotide ribosomal RNA is filed under the name uncultured organism. RNAcentral describes it as "bacterial SSU rRNA". It matches the Rfam family "Bacterial small subunit ribosomal RNA", at positions 289 to 1412 of the family's 1533-position model. The record is from RNAcentral.
GGCGUGAGAGCGUGACCCCCACACUGUCACUGGGACACGGGCCAGACUCCUACGGGAGGCAGCAGUGAGGAAUAUUGCGCAAUGAGCGAAAGCUAGACGCAGCAACGCCGCGUUGGUGAUGAAGGCCUUCGGGUCGUAAAACCCUUUUCUGGGGGAAGAGUAAGGACGGUACCCCAGGAAUAAGCCUCGGCUAACUAUGUGCCAGCAGCCGCGGUAAUACAUAGGAGGCAAGCGUUAUCCGGAUUUACUGGGCGUAAAGAGCGUUGAGGCGGCUUCGUAAGUUGGACGUGAAAGCUCCCGGCUUAACUGGGAGAGGCCGUUCAAUACUGCGGGGCUUGAGGACAGCAGAGGGGGGUGGAAUUUCCGGUGUAGUGGUGAAAUGCGUAGAUAUCGGAAGGAACACCAGUGGCGAAGGCGGCCCCCUGGUGCUGCUCCUGACGCUGAAGGCGAAAAGCUAGGGUAGCCGAACGGGAUUAGAAACCCCGGUAGUCUUAGCCGUAAACGAUUGGAUACUAGGUUUUAGGAGGUUAAAUUCCUUCUGUGCCGGAGCUAACGCGUUAAGUAUCCCGCCUGGGGAGUACGUUCGCAAGGCUAAAACUCAAAGGAAUUGACGGGGGCCCGCACAAGCAGCGGGAGCGUGUGGUUUAAUUCGGAUGCAACGCGAAGAACCUUACCAGGGCUUGACAUGUAGGUAGUAGUGAAGCGAAAGCGGAACGAUCCUUCGGGAAGCCUACACAGGUGCUGCAUGGCUGUCGUCAGCUCGUGCCGUGAGGUGUUAGGUUAAGUCCUGUAACGAGCGCAACCCCUGCCGUUAGUUUACAAGUGUCUAACGGGACUGCCCGGCAAAACUGGGAGGAAGGUGGGGAUGACGUCAAGUCAGCAUGGCCUUUAUGUCCUGGGCUACACACACGCUACAAUGGCCGGUACAAUGGGUUGCCAAGCCGCGAGNCGGAGCCAAUCCUCUAAAGCCGGUCUCAGUUCGGAUUGUAGGCUGCAACCCGCCUGCAUGAAGUUGGAGUUGCUAGUAACCGCAGGUCAGCCACACUGCGGUGAAUACGUUCCCGGGCCUUGUACACACCGCCCGUCACGUCAUGGAAGCU